RNAcentral lists this ribosomal RNA (350 nucleotides) under uncultured bacterium. Its description in RNAcentral is "bacterial SSU rRNA". It matches the Rfam family "Bacterial small subunit ribosomal RNA", at positions 355 to 698 of the family's 1533-position model. The record is from RNAcentral.
UGGGGAAUAUUGGACAAUGGGGGCAACCCUGAUCCAGCCAUGCCGCGUGUGUGAAGAAGGCCUUAGGGUUGUAAAGCACUUUCAGUGGGGAGGAAGGCUUCUGGCUAAUAACCUGGAGUACUUGACGUUACCCACAGAAGAAGCACCGGCUAAUUUCGUGCCAGCAGCCGCGGUAAUACGAAAGGUGCGAGCGUUAAUCGGAAUUACUGGGCGUAAAGCGCGCGUAGGCGGCUAUUUAAGUCUGAUGUGAAAUCCCCGGGCUCAACCUGGGAAUUGCAUCGGAUACUGGGUAGCUAGAAUGCGGUAGAGGGGGUGGAAUUCCAGGUGUAGCGGUGAAAUGCGUAGAUAUC